Molecule: ribosomal RNA, 462 nt
Filed under: uncultured bacterium
Lineage: Bacteria
Description: bacterial SSU rRNA
Rfam family: Bacterial small subunit ribosomal RNA
Source: RNAcentral
AGGAGGCAGCAGUGAGGAAUCUUGCGCAAUGGGGGAAACCCUGACGCAGCAACGCCGCGUGAGUGAGGAAGGUUUUCGGAUCGUAAAGCUCUGUCGGGUGGAAAGAAAGGUUUGGGGGCUAAUACCUCCCAUACUUGACGGUACCACCAAAGGAAGAACCGGCUAACUCCGUGCCAGCAGCCGCGGUAAUACGGGGGGUGCAAGCGUUGUUCGGAAUUAUUGGGCGUAAAGAGCGUGUAGGCGGCUUGAUAAGUCAGAUGUGAAAGCCCUGGGCUUAACCCUGGAGGUGCAUUUGAAACUGUCUCGCUCGAGUAAGGAAGGGGGAAGUGGAAUUCCUGGUGUAGAGGUGGAAUUCGUAGAUAUCAGGAGGAACACCGGUGGCGAAGGCGACUUCCUGGUCCUAUACUGACGCUGAGACGCGAGAGCGUGGGUAGCAAACAGGAUUAGAUACCCCUGUAGUCG